RNAcentral lists this ribosomal RNA (200 nucleotides) under uncultured bacterium. RNAcentral's name for it is "partial 16S ribosomal RNA". It matches the Rfam family "Bacterial small subunit ribosomal RNA", at positions 524 to 722 of the family's 1533-position model. The record is from RNAcentral.
UACGUAGGGUGCAAGCGUUGUCCGGAUUUACUGGGUUUAAAGGGUGCGUAGGCGGUCCGAUCAGUCGGUGAUGAAAUGCUCAGGCUUAACCUGCAGCGCUGUUACCGAUACUACCGGACUUGAGAGCGGACGAGGUGGCUGGAAUGAGUGGUGUAGCGGUGAAAUGCGUAGAGAUCACUCAGAACACCAAUUGCGAAGGC